AACGAACGCUGGCGGCAUGCCUAACACAUGCAAGUCGAACGAGACCUUCGGGCCUAGUGGCGCACGGGUGCGUAACGCGGGGGAACCUGCCCUUAGGUUCGGAAUAACUCCCCGUAAGGGGUGCUAAUACCGGAGAAUGUCUUCGACCAAAGGAUUUUCGGCUUUGGGUUGGGGCGCGUUGGAUUUCGGAGUUGGUAGGGGAAAAGCCUGCCAAGGCGAUGGUUCAUUGCUGGGUUGAGAGGAUGGUCAGCCACACUGGGACUGAGACACAGCCCAGACUCCUACGGGAGGCAGCAGUGGGGAGUAUUGGACGAUGGGCGAAAGCCUGAUCCAGCAGUGCCGCGUAAGUGAUGAAGGCCUUAGGGUUGUAAAGCUCUUUUACCCGGGAUGAUAAUGACGGUACCGGGAGAAUAAGCACCGGCUAACUACGUG
Molecule: ribosomal RNA, 432 nt
Filed under: uncultured bacterium
Lineage: Bacteria
Description: partial 16S ribosomal RNA
Rfam family: Bacterial small subunit ribosomal RNA
Source: RNAcentral